AUCCAGUUUCAGACUCAAGAAACUAAAGCCCACGUAAAUUCCAACUCAGCAGCAAAAUCCUUUAUGUCAUCUAGCACUGAGGUAACAUCUUGUCUACUUUACGUGUCAGGGCAGAGGCUGAUUGCUUGUUUGUAACAGUCCACAUCAUCACACUAACCGUUAGCUGUCAAAUACUAUGUGCUUGGGCCCUCACAAGGCUAUUAAUUGCAGUUUCAGAUGUAAUACAUAUAACCUAGUACACGGUCAUUAAUUUGCUGUGUUGGCUGCCAUGAAGUGACAAGCACAACACUAUGUUUUAUAAUAUAUCUUUCUGAAAAUUCAUAUAAACCUUAGAUUAGUCUUCAGGGGAAUACAAAUGAAAAAAUAAAGUAAAAUAAAAUGAGGUACAGCCCUAUGAAAUAAGUUAAAUUCUAUGAAAACAAACCCUAACUUUUUUCUCGAAUAGCAAACAGUGAAUUUAUGUGAUACAUCUCUGUUAAACUGCAUGAUAAGUAGAAUUUUUUAGCAUACCAAAGUAAAAAGCAUUCUGGAUUGGCUACCUUUCUGUUACCCUUGAAAACAGAUGUUUUGGUUCCUGAUGUCAAAGAAAGGCUGUCCAAUUAUCAGAAGCCUUCAUCCAAGACAAGAUGGUUAAAAUCUUUCUGAAUAUGGUGAAAUCUUCCCUGAAAUGCAGACAGUCCCCUGUGGUUUUCAAUCACUCAAACUGCAUAUGGAAGGCCCCUCCACCUACCGCUUUAGGAAUGGUGCAGAAGGAGGUCCAGCAGCCCCAUGAGCUCUGGGCUUUUGAAGGCAGUUUUUUAAAGAAAGGGUUCCUCACCAUUGAGAAAUAUUUCCUCGGGGCUGAAGAUUCUGUAAGCGAAAUAAAACAAAGCAGAAAUGUUCAGACUGGAAUGAUUUUUCCUCUGUAGUUGAUAACAACACCAUCUGCUCAAGGAUUUUCUGCUAGCAGGCUAAAGUCAUUGAAUAAACUGCACACUCCAGAUUGUUUGCUCAUCCGCUCUAUAUAGCAAUCUACGAUUGUUGAUUAAUUAAAGUCCAGAGUUCCCCAAUGAGAAAGAAUUUUAAAAUGACAUGCUGAGAAAACUGUCAUAUGUGGAUUCACGACUGUCUAAGGUCCACUGGAUUUUGAACUUCCUUGGGGGAUAUCAGCGCUUUGCAGGAGUGUCAAACAGCAAUUGAGAAACAUCAGGAAGAUUCAGAAGUUCAGCUAAUUCAAAUCUCACCCUGUCAGACUCCAGGCCAAGUCCCUUCCUGACAGAGCCACGUGGGACUCCCUGUCUACUCUGCACCAUAGUACAUGUUUCACAAGUUAGGACCAUAAAAGAGAAUAGGGCACAAGGCAUCUGCUUAUGCUUUGAAUAAUGCAUUCCUGUAACAUUUCUGAAAGUUCUGUUUGUCUGAAUCUCUGUGGUGGUUUGGCUAACACAGUAGUUUUUAGUAUUUACCUUUUGACGAACAUCCAACAAAUUUAAGUGUGACAACCCACCCUCUUCCUAUAUUUCCCUGUUCUGAAGAAAAGCUGGCAUUUCCGACAUUAGCAACAGGACACAACCACCCCCUUCCUCUCCAUUGUCUUCUCCUUGUAUCUGACAGCUCCCAAAGCAUCUACAGAACUUUAGAAGUUUAUUAUGUGAAUAGAAAGGCACAUAGGGCUGGAAAGCGAGGUAAAAGAAGACGUCUAGAUUUUUAUCAGUCUCAGAAUGAGGUUAAUUCCAUUCUCAUUUUUUCUCAGGCAGAAUACAGUAUGGAAAGUGAAGAAAGGUUUAAAAUAAGCCUUGGGGUAUGUAGGGUUAAAUACUGCAACCGUGGGUGACACAGUGACGAAACUGUUACCUCCUCAGAAAUGUAUUCUGUGCUUGGGAUAAUUAAACUGAAGAUACUUUUUUAACCAGAUGAGAUUUCAAAAACUUUCUCAAUUCUCCUAGAAGCAAGAAAACAACCCAGAUUUGACCUGGCCACUGGCCACUGGCCACCACUCCUGUUCCUAGAAAGCUUGAUAAAAGAGGUUUAUCUUUGUCCCUUACUCAGUGAAAGUAUCACAGAACCACCUCUACAAUUACUUUCAAUGAAAAAUUCCAACUUACACACCUGGAAGAAGAAAUUUCCAGACAGUCAAGCUUGCAGUACCUCUGCUGACUUCAGUGGAAUUGUACCAGGAGAUAAAUUUUGAUUCUCCUUCUUCAAAC
Molecule: long non-coding RNA, 2186 nt
Organism: Pezoporus occidentalis (night parrot)
Lineage: Eukaryota; Metazoa; Chordata; Aves; Psittaciformes; Psittacidae
Exons: 4
Source: RefSeq, a predicted model, not a curated record